RNAcentral lists this long non-coding RNA (583 nucleotides) under Sorghum bicolor (sorghum). RNAcentral describes it as "long non-coding RNA (SBIC_LNC007529)". The record is from RNAcentral. Lineage: Eukaryota; Viridiplantae; Streptophyta; Magnoliopsida; Poales; Poaceae.
CUGGAUUCAUAUCUCACGAUGGCUAGGAAGUUAUCCGGACUUCUAAUUUUAGCAUGGUUGGUAUUGGUGAUGCUAGAUUCAUGGUCCCUUUGAUAAUCUUCGAUGACGAUAUGGUUGAUGCUCUUUCAAUUUGAUGUGUCCCAAGAAGUUCCUAUAUGGUGUUGGAUAAUGUAGAGUUACAAGAUUUGUGGCCCGUUGCUGUGAUGAUGGGAGGGUGGUGCUCCAAAUGGGGCUCAUUAUUAGCGUCCUUGAGUUUCAAGAUAUUGGAACUAGGUAAUCUUCAAUGACAUGGAUUGAAAGUGAAGAAUGACACUAGAGCGCUCUGGUUUACUCAUAAUACAUCCUUUUUAUUCACUAGAGACUUAACAGAGAUGUAAUUGUGAUAUCGAUUUAAUAGAACCCCCUUCACAAAAAAGUUCAAAGUAAACUUUGUUCUGACAUGAGCCAGACUUGGAAUAUACUUUGAAAUAUAGUUUAACAGUUGGAAGAUCAUAUAUUGGUCAAUUAUGUUGUUUAGAUCCAUCAGAUUUAACAGUUAGCUUCUGAAAUUUGCUGAUAUGUAUUGAAACACCCACCGGCUAAU